Molecule: unclassified non-coding RNA, 309 nt
Filed under: air metagenome
Description: partial contains small subunit ribosomal RNA, internal transcribed spacer 1, and 5.8S ribosomal RNA
Rfam family: Eukaryotic small subunit ribosomal RNA (bases 1-46)
Source: RNAcentral
AAGUCGUAACAAGGUUUCCGUAGGUGAACCUGCGGAAGGAUCAUUACUAGAGCAAAGGAUAGACAGCGCCCGCGGAGCUCGCUCCCGGGGCUACCCUACUCCGGUAGGGUUUAGAGUCGUCGGGCCUCUCAGAGAAGCUCGGUCCUGAACUCCACCCUUGAAUAAACUACCUUUGUUGCUUUGGCGGGCCGCCUCGUGCCAGCGGCUUUGGCUGUUGAGUGCCCGCCAGAGGACCACAACUCUUGUUUUUAGUGAUGUCUGAGUACUAUAUAAUAGUUAAAACUUUCAACAACGGAUCUCUUGGUUCUG